GAUGAACGCUGGCGGCGUGCCUAAUACAUGCAAGUCGGACGGAGCGCUUCGGCGCUCAGUGGCGAACGGGUGAGUAGCACAUGGGCAACCUGCCCUUCAGAGGGGGACAACAGUUGGAAACGACUGCUAAUACCGCAUAACGUGUCGAGGAGGCAUCUCCUUGACACCAAAGAUUUAUCGCUGAAAGAUGGGCUCGCGUCUGAUUAGCUAGUUGGUGGGGUAACGGCCUACCAAGGCGACGAUCAGUAGCCGGACUGAGAGGUUGAACGGCCACAUUGGGACUGAGAUACGGCCCAG
This 297-nucleotide ribosomal RNA is filed under the name uncultured bacterium. RNAcentral's name for it is "partial 16S ribosomal RNA". It matches the Rfam family "Bacterial small subunit ribosomal RNA", at positions 28 to 334 of the family's 1533-position model. The record is from RNAcentral.